UUCAUUUUGCUCAAUCCUUACGUUUAAACGCAAAAGGCCGAUUUCACUAUACUUGGAAUUGAAGAGUUCAAAUUGAAGAUAUUGGUCCUACAAAAGUUGUCAAUUAGCAGAUAAGUUGUCAAUAUCAUGGUUGUCAAUUGACUAGACAUCGAUUUACAAGUUCAUUAUUGACUCCGAGACUAGUAAUCGAUUACUCAUCAAUCGUUUGCUGUUUUGGUCGACUUUUGUUUGUUGUUUUGAUCUCUUCCAUGGUUGUCAAUCGACUAGAUGUCGAUUUACAAAUUAAUUAUUGACUCCAAGACUAGUAAUCGAUUACCUAGCAAUUGAUGGCUGUUCUAGUCGACUUUUGC
This 350-nucleotide long non-coding RNA is filed under the name Eucalyptus grandis. RNAcentral describes it as "long non-coding RNA (EGRA_LNC001644)". Lineage: Eukaryota; Viridiplantae; Streptophyta; Magnoliopsida; Myrtales; Myrtaceae. The record is from RNAcentral.